AUGACUAACCAAAACAUACCCGUUUGUCCGCACCUUUUGUCUCUGUUCCUAGCAAAGCCUCCCACUAAACUUGGUCAAAAAUUUAUGGUAUUUGUAAUGCAACAUGGAACAUUAGAUUGCUCUGUUUCUCUUUUCAGCACAGCUAGUCGAUACCAUCUGUGGCCUAACAUUUUAAACUUUUCUCUCUCAGUUAUUGGGUUCUUUGUACGCUUUGAAGAUGAUAGUGUCGAUUCAGCAAAAGUGGUCAAACAGUGGAAUGUCAAAAUCAUAUCUAUAAGCAAGAAUAAAAGGCAUCAAGACAGACCGGCUGCUCUGGAGGUGUGGGAUCGGCUGGAUGAAUUUGUGCGGGCCGGAACGGCACAUCCUCAUAUUACAAAGAUAGAAUCUAUAAGUUGUUUAUACAGAAUUAUAGAUAUAAUAGUAGAAGUCGUCAGUGACAACUUCCUGCUGCACCUGCUUCUUACCACGGGCACAUGCAUGCAAAGGUUCUGUCAAAAGCCAUCUACGCAUGUGUUUUUCCACUCCAUAUCACCGAAAAGCAACGGUAUCUUUCUGGUGCCACCACCAACAGGUAUUGUUAGUUCUGUUGCCUCCAAUCUUAGUAGUAGUCGUCUCUCUGCAUCUCAGUCAAAUUGUACACUUUCAACUUUCUCAAGCAUUCGGCCAAAGUGGAGAUGA
This 678-nucleotide ribosomal RNA is filed under the name Triticum aestivum (bread wheat). RNAcentral's name for it is "partial small subunit ribosomal RNA". Lineage: Eukaryota; Viridiplantae; Streptophyta; Magnoliopsida; Poales; Poaceae. The record is from RNAcentral.